Molecule: ribosomal RNA, 378 nt
Filed under: uncultured Phycisphaerae bacterium
Lineage: Bacteria; Pseudomonadati; Planctomycetota; Phycisphaerae
Description: bacterial SSU rRNA
Rfam family: Bacterial small subunit ribosomal RNA
Source: RNAcentral
UAAGACGAAGGGAGCGAGCGUUGUUCGGUAUUACUGGGCUUAAAGGGCGCGCAGGCGGCCAUGCAUGUCGGUUGUGAAAUCCCUGGGCUUAACCCAGGAAUUGCUUCCGAAACUGCAUGGCUUGAGGCAUUCUGGGGGCGACUGGAACUCUUGGUGGAGCGGUGAUAUGCGUAGAUAUCAAGAGGAAUGCCGGUGGUGAAGACGGGUCGCUGGGAAUGUCCUGACGCUGAGGCGCGAAAGCUAGGGGAGCGAACGGGAUUAGAUACCCCGGUAGUCCUAGCCGUAAACGAUGUGCACUAGGCUGCGGAAGUUCUGACACUUUCGCGGCCGGAGCAAAAGUGUUAAGUGCACCGCCUGGGGAGUACGGUCGCAAGGCUA